This is a long non-coding RNA of Gopherus evgoodei (Goodes thornscrub tortoise), 793 nucleotides long. RefSeq lists it as uncharacterized. The record is from RefSeq and is a predicted model, not a curated record. The transcript has 3 exons. NCBI's taxonomy places the organism in Eukaryota, Metazoa, Chordata, Testudines, Testudinidae.
UUACCAUAGUCUCUGUUUUAACAUAUUUAUCCUCACAGUGCUCCUGUCAGUCACCUGGUGAAGCUCAAAAGCUUGUAUACCUGGGAAAAUGAGGUAUAAGGAGCAUGAGGGUAUGUUUCUCAUAAGUACUAAGUGAUCUAGGAGUCUCUAAGUCCCAUUUUCAAAAGUGACUUAGGCACUUAGGGAGGCCUAAGUAUCUUUGAAAAUCAAGCCUUACACUUAGCUCAGUCAUAAUCUCACCUCUCUAGUUCUCCUGAAUUCUUUCCUUUCAAUAAGAGUUUGUUGGCAUUUGUUCUUUGCAUGUCUCUUCUCAUCAAUGUAUUUGGGUGUCCCAGCUAAGAGCAAAUAUUUGUUCAGAGUCAGAGAAAAAAGUCUCUGGGUAUAUUAGUGUGAAAAUGUUUUAGAAAAGCCUUUGAAUUUACAGUUUGUUUAAUCUGGUUCCAGAAUAUAUGUAUCAAAAGAGGCAGCACAGCGUGGGAACAUUGCUUCCAGAACUUCACAUGACAGAUCAUAGAACUGGUCUAGAGAAUGUUACACCAACCACAGACUGUCAGGAUUCUCUACCCAUGAGUAGCAGAUUCGAUUUCCUCUUUCUCACACUGGGAACUAAAAAGACAGAUUCCUUAUCUGGUGUAAACUGUGCUAUGGCAAUGUACAGCAGAUGAGGAACUACCCCCAAUCUUAAAAUCCACAGGAAAAGGCUUUGAGAGUCUCAAAAACAUUUUCAUUUUUAAAAUCUCAGUAUUAGAAGCAUUUUGGAAGACCCUCCCAAGAAAUCUAAGAAGACGGAAUG